Molecule: ribosomal RNA, 70 nt
Filed under: Peganum harmala
Lineage: Eukaryota; Viridiplantae; Streptophyta; Magnoliopsida; Sapindales; Nitrariaceae
Description: partial 5.8S ribosomal RNA
Source: RNAcentral
GGGGGACUCGAGUCUUUGACGCAGUUGCGCCCCAAGCCGUCAGGCCGAGGGCACGCCUGCCUGGGCGUCA